This 3318-nucleotide long non-coding RNA is filed under the name Malus domestica (apple). RNAcentral describes it as "long non-coding RNA (MDOM_LNC014312)". The record is from RNAcentral. Lineage: Eukaryota; Viridiplantae; Streptophyta; Magnoliopsida; Rosales; Rosaceae.
AGGUCAAAACUAGCAUUUGAGCCCGCGCGAUGCCGCGGGUUGGAAAACUAUGUUAUACGUAUGACAUAAAAGCUACCUCUCAACCCAUGCCAAAAUGUUCCCAAUCAAGAUCAAUCACAAAUGUCACAGAGCAAUGCUCUGAUCAAAGCUUCUAAAAAGGAACAUAGCUAAUAAGAUGUAAUAACUAUCAAACUCGUAUAAAUAUAAACACACAUUCCAUUACAUUUCCAGUAAACUAAAACUCAAAAACUCUAUUUGACAUUGCAUUGUAAAUCCCCUUCUAGACCAGAAAAGAUAACCAUAUUUCCAAAAAAAUAUUUUAUACACACAAAUAGAUAAUCAGGUAAACAUAUUAUCCAUUGGUUUACCAUAUGUUUUCCAAAAAAAUAUUCAAAAUUUUCAUGUAAUAAAUUGGCAGGCGGUGCUGAAUACUAAAUUACGAAUACAAUUAUAUGUAAUGGGCAAAUGUGCCUUGAAGCUCAGAAAUACAAAAUACACAUAGCCAAAAACUCAGUAAAAAGCAAAGACUCGUUAACCCAUUAACGAAAAACAACAAAGAAAGCCUUUGGGUUACCAUCGUCGAAUGGUCUCAUUUGCCUUGAAAUGGGGGUACCGCCCGAGCUUGAAUUUUCAUGCUUGUGAAUCGUUAACCCUUCUAAGUGAGAGUUGACUUGGUUUCACAAUUCCAACUCGUGCAAUUUUGUACACCAUUUUGCACAGCCCUAAGAUCCUGUAUUACAAUUUGAAUUUCGCUUACACAUGCAUACACUACAAAAGUAGUACAAUGAUUUAAUACAAAGACUCUGACUUAUCACUUGCAGCCAUGUUUCCAAUUACUGCAUCUCUUUGUUUUAUUAAUUUUUCUUUAUAAUCAAACAUAAAUCACAAAGAUAGUUCAAAGACCAAAAAAAGAAAAAGAGAAAAUAGAAAAUCAUAUUGAAAACCCCUACCAAAGCACAUUAAUAAUCAAACAUAAAUCACGCAAUUUGAGAAACAAACCCCUGUUUGAGUGCUACCGAUCAGAUCCUGCCCUUGCAUUGCUGUUUCCACAGAGCACUCUCUACACAAAAUCCCAAAAAAAAAUUAAUACAUAGUAACCAACAAAUAAAAAAAAUCUUCUUUUUCAAUCAUUUUCUCAUAUGGGGAACAACCUGCUAAUACCCUUCAUGGCCAAAGCACUAAGAAUAAUUCAUAUAUGUUUUUCAAUUUUCAAAUCGCAUACAAAGUGGAAUAUAAAUCUUAAAACUUUUAAGCCAAAAACAGAUGCACUAUUUUUCCAGAUUCCCAAAGAAAAAAAAAAGAAAAGGCAAGUGGAAACACAAAUCUUGUGAAAUAAUUAUGAAUAUUCUAUAAAUAAUCACAUGCAGAUCAUUACCCGAUUAAUCACCAAAAGAUCACAACAAAAACCCACUGCUAGAAAUUGAAAGACAUAGCAUAUUAUCAGUUCAAGAUUAUAAAAAAUAAAAAUAAAAAUAAAAAAUAAAAAAUAAAAAAUAAAAAAAAAAGAGAAAAUUCACAACAAAGCAAGCCAAUGAACAAAACCCACGAAGAAAAUCUCAAAAUUCCAAAACCUGAAAAGGAUUAUGAAAACAAAGACGCACCCAGAACUAAGAGCUCAGUGGAAGCUCCGUUUACACAAAAGCUAUAACCAAAUGUAAAAUUUGGAUUUUUACAUUGUUUCUUCGUUUUUAACAAUAUUUGGGUUGCAAGUAUAUGGACGGUGGUAUCUUGGCUUCAAAUUUUGAAUUUGUAAAGGUUGCUGUCAUUUGAUACACAACUGUAAAAUUUGGAUGCUCCAGUGGAAGAUCAGGCUGCAAAUUCAAAAUUCAAAACACAAAAAUCCAAAUUAAACACAAUUCAAAAGCGAUUUAAUAGUUACCAACGAUAAAUCCACCAUGCAUCUAAUAAAAAAUACAAAAUUAAACAAAAAAAAUACAGAGAGAAGAAAAGGGUACCACAUAUUUGCAUGUCGCUGCUGCUCUUCAGAACCCACAAAAUUCGAGCCGAAAGAUGGUGGCGGCGGUGGUUCCGUGAGAGGCGGUGCCGCAGGGUGAGAUUUCUUUCGCUGCAGGUAUCUGCUGUCGUCCAAGAAAACCUGAUAGCCAUGCGCAAACACAGACGGAGAGAGAGAGAGGAGAACAGGAGUACAUCCAGACCUUUCCCUUCCCAGAGAGACAAAAAUGAAGUAGAAGAGUCCAGAAGAGGCAAAAUCGAACUACAAAAGUUUUAAACCCGAGAUUCAGAUCGCAUUUUUCAACCCCUAAAACCAAAUAGUACAUUUAACCGACUUAACACGAUGGAAGGCAUAAAUCAAAUCUAGGAUAUCAUACUCAACCUGCAUUGCAGAAACGAACACUGUAGCUUAUAUACAUUCUCAAUGUCCUCCGCAAGUCCUCUCUCCAAUGGCUCUGCAAUCUACAAAAGGUUUUUAGAAGAUUAUAAUUUUAAAACUGAAUCACAUAAAAUUUCUGAAAUUAGGUUGCUUCUUACCAGAGUUAUUUUAUUCUUCUUAUUGGAUGUUUCAGCAAAGCAUUUGAUUGACUUCUACAAACAAAAUGAAACAACAGGAUCAACCUACAAACAAAAGCAUAUCCAUCAAGAAAAGAACAUAAAAUUUUACAUUCUUAAGGGGUGGAAAAAUUACUUUAAAAAGAAAAAACGUCAAGAGAGGAUGAGGAUUGGGAGCAAACAAUUACCUUGACUUCUACUUCCAAAUAAAGCUCUCUUAGGUCCUUCAUUAUUCUGACAUACCCUAUAACACAUUAAUUUAUGUUAAAAAAACAUAAAAAUUAAGCACCAAAUCUUUCACUUCAAAUUCCAUAAAAAUCAAACCUCUGAAACAUAAAGUUAUUGGGCUUUCUCUUGUGAGGAGGAGUUCAAAACUCUCCCAUUGCAAUCCUCAUAGAGAAUCGCCACGUCAGCCUUGGAAAAAACUCGAAUCAAAGCAAAAACAUGUAAAAGAGCGGUGCCAUACCUGUGGAGCUCGAGCAUGGAAAGGCUCUGGUUCCAUGCAAAGGCUCUGGUUCCUUGCAAAACAAAAGAAAAAACGUUUACAAAUCUAGCUUUACAGAGAUGCACAACCAGUCGAACAACGGAUAUUGGAAACAAAAUCCCCAAACAAACGAAAACCAAAUUUGCUCAGGAAUCCGAUAGAACGAAAAACACAAACAAAUCAUACACCAAAACAACAGAUCUAACAAUAUAAAGAAAAUACCCAAAAUCAGAUUAAAAAAAAUUGAUCCAUAAAUCACCACAACAUGGCAAACUACCAGCAAAAUACUAAAACACAAUUAAUAAAAAACUUAAAAACUCACAAAC